This 553-nucleotide ribosomal RNA is filed under the name Allobosea sp. RP8. RNAcentral's name for it is "bacterial SSU rRNA". It matches the Rfam family "Bacterial small subunit ribosomal RNA", at positions 112 to 720 of the family's 1533-position model. The record is from RNAcentral. Lineage: Bacteria; Pseudomonadati; Pseudomonadota; Alphaproteobacteria; Hyphomicrobiales; Alloboseaceae.
AACGCGUGGGAACGUGCCUUUCGGUUCGGAAUAAUCCAGGGAAACUUGGACUAAUACCGGAUACGCCCUUCGGGGGAAAGAUUUAUCGCCGAAAGAUCGGCCCGCGUCUGAUUAGCUAGUUGGUGAGGUAAAGGCUCACCAAGGCGACGAUCAGUAGCUGGUCUGAGAGGAUGAUCAGCCACAUUGGGACUGAGACACGGCCCAAACUCCUACGGGAGGCAGCAGUGGGGAAUAUUGGACAAUGGGCGCAAGCCUGAUCCAGCCAUGCCGCGUGAGUGAUGAAGGCCUUAGGGUUGUAAAGCUCUUUUGUCCGGGAAGAUAUGACUGUACCGGAAGAAUAACCCCGGCUACUUCGUGCCAGCAGCCGCGGUAAUACGAANGGGGCUAGCGUUGCUCGGAUCACUGGGCGUAAANGGCGCGUAGGCGGACUUUUAAGUCGGAGGNGAAAACCCAGGCUCACCUGGAAUGCCUUCAAACUGGGGAUCUUGAAUUCGGAAAAGUGGUGGAACUGCAAUGUAAAGGGAAUUCUAAAAUUCCAAAACCCCGGGGCAAG